RNAcentral lists this ribosomal RNA (2737 nucleotides) under Salmonella enterica. RNAcentral's name for it is "partial 23S ribosomal RNA". It matches the Rfam family "Bacterial large subunit ribosomal RNA". RNAcentral also lists the same sequence under 1 other name. The record is from RNAcentral. Lineage: Bacteria; Pseudomonadati; Pseudomonadota; Gammaproteobacteria; Enterobacterales; Enterobacteriaceae.
UCAGAGGCGAUGAAGGGCGUGCUAAUCUGCGAUAAGCGCCGGUAAGGUGAUAUGAACCGUUAUAACCGGCGAUACCCGAAUGGGGAAACCCAGUGUGACUCGUCACACUAUCAUUAACUGAAUCCAUAGGUUAAUGAGGCGAACCGGGGGAACUGAAACAUCUAAGUACCCCGAGGAAAAGAAAUCAACCGAGAUUCCCCCAGUAGCGGCGAGCGAACGGGGAGGAGCCCAGAGCCUGAAUCAGCAUGUGUGUUAGUGGAAGCGUCUGGAAAGGCGCGCGAUACAGGGUGACAGCCCCGUACACAAAAGCGCAUGUGCUGUGAGCUCGAUGAGUAGGGCGGGACACGUGGUAUCCUGUCUGAAUAUGGGGGGACCAUCCUCCAAGGCUAAAUACUCCUGACUGACCGAUAGUGAACCAGUACCGUGAGGGAAAGGCGAAAAGAACCCCGGCGAGGGGAGUGAAAAAGAACCUGAAACCGUGUACGUACAAGCAGUGGGAGCACCCUUUGGGUGUGACUGCGUACCUUUUGUAUAAUGGGUCAGCGACUUAUAUUCUGUAGCAAGGUUAACCGAAUAGGGGAGCCGGAGGGAAACCGAGUCUUAAUUGGGCGUUAAGUUGCAGGGUAUAGACCCGAAACCCGGUGAUCUAGCCAUGGGCAGGUUGAAGGUUGGGUAACACUAACUGGAGGACCGAACCGACUAAUGUUGAAAAAUUAGCGGAUGACCUGUGGCUGGGGGUGAAAGGCCAAUCAAACCGGGAGAUAGCUGGUUCUCCCCGAAAGCUAUUUAGGUAGCGCCUCGUGAAUUCAUCUCCGGGGGUAGAGCACUGUUUCGGCUAGGGGGCCAUCCCGGCUUACCAACCCGAUGCAAACUGCGAAUACCGGAGAAUGUUAUCACGGGAGACACACGGCGGGUGCUAACGUCCGUCGUGAAGAGGGAAACAACCCAGACCGCCAGCUAAGGUCCCAAAGUCAUGGUUAAGUGGGAAACGAUGUGGGAAGGCCCAGACAGCCAGGAUGUUGGCUUAGAAGCAGCCAUCAUUUAAAGAAAGCGUAAUAGCUCACUGGUCGAGUCGGCCUGCGCGGAAGAUGUAACGGGGCUAAACCAUGCACCGAAGCUGCGGCAGCGACACUGUGUGUUGUUGGGUAGGGGAGCGUUCUGUAAGCCUGUGAAGGUGUGUCGUGAGGCAUGCUGGAGGUAUCAGAAGUGCGAAUGCUGACAUAAGUAACGAUAAAGCGGGUGAAAAGCCCGCUCGCCGGAAGACCAAGGGUUCCUGUCCAACGUUAAUCGGGGCAGGGUGAGUCGACCCCUAAGGCGAGGCCGAAAGGCGUAGUCGAUGGGAAACGGGUUAAUAUUCCCGUACUUGGUGUUACUGCGAAGGGGGGACGGAGAAGGCUAUGUUGGCCGGGCGACGGUUGUCCCGGUUUAAGCGUGUAGGUGUGUGUUCCAGGUAAAUCCGGUUCACUUUAACACUGAGGCGUGACGACGAGGCACUACGGUGCUGAAGCAACAAAUGCCCUGCUUCCAGGAAAAGCCUCUAAGCAUCAGGUAACAUCAAAUCGUACCCCAAACCGACACAGGUGGUCAGGUAGAGAAUACCAAGGCGCUUGAGAGAACUCGGGUGAAGGAACUAGGCAAAAUGGUGCCGUAACUUCGGGAGAAGGCACGCUGACACGUAGGUGAAGUGAUUUACUCAUGGAGCUGAAGUCAGUCGAAGAUACCAGCUGGCUGCAACUGUUUAUUAAAAACACAGCACUGUGCAAACACGAAAGUGGACGUAUACGGUGUGACGCCUGCCCGGUGCCGGAAGGUUAAUUGAUGGGGUCAGCGCAAGCGAAGCUCCUGAUCGAAGCCCCGGUAAACGGCGGCCGUAACUAUAACGGUCCUAAGGUAGCGAAAUUCCUUGUCGGGUAAGUUCCGACCUGCACGAAUGGCGUAAUGAUGGCCAGGCUGUCUCCACCCGAGACUCAGUGAAAUUGAACUCGCUGUGAAGAUGCAGUGUACCCGCGGCAAGACGGAAAGACCCCGUGAACCUUUACUAUAGCUUGACACUGAACAUUGAGCCUUGAUGUGUAGGAUAGGUGGGAGGCUUUGAAGUGUGGACGCCAGUCUGCAUGGAGCCGACCUUGAAAUACCACCCUUUAAUGUUUGAUGUUCUAACGUGGACCCGUUACCCGGGUUGCGGACAGUGUCUGGUGGGUAGUUUGACUGGGGCGGUCUCCUCCUAAAGAGUAACGGAGGAGCACGAAGGUUGGCUAAUCCUGGUCGGACAUCAGGAGGUUAGUGCAAUGGCAUAAGCCAGCUUGACUGCGAGCGUGACGGCGCGAGCAGGUGCGAAAGCAGGUCAUAGUGAUCCGGUGGUUCUGAAUGGAAGGGCCAUCGCUCAACGGAUAAAAGGUACUCCGGGGAUAACAGGCUGAUACCGCCCAAGAGUUCAUAUCGACGGCGGUGUUUGGCACCUCGAUGUCGGCUCAUCACAUCCUGGGGCUGAAGUAGGUCCCAAGGGUAUGGCUGUUCGCCAUUUAAAGUGGUACGCGAGCUGGGUUUAGAACGUCGUGAGACAGUUCGGUCCCUAUCUGCCGUGGGCGCUGGAGAACUGAGGGGGGCUGCUCCUAGUACGAGAGGACCGGAGUGGACGCAUCACUGGUGUUCGGGUUGUCAUGCCAAUGGCACUGCCCGGUAGCUAAAUGCGGAAGAGAUAAGUGCUGAAAGCAUCUAAGCACGAAACUUGCCCCGA